UUUAAGUGGUUCCUCGUCUCUCUUUACCUCUGCAGGUAAAAACCUCCCUGAGGAGAAGAGGAAGGAGUUCUGUGAAGAGAUAAGAAAAAUGCGUGAGAUACUAAACAAACUGCGGUCCACUGGUGAAAACCUCCCUGAGGAGAAGAGGGACGAGUUCUAUGAAGAGAACGAACAUCAACUAUAGAAACUUCCCACUGUGCGGCACCUAUAAAAUGAGCUGUGACUCAGGUGAGA
Molecule: long non-coding RNA, 234 nt
Organism: Scleropages formosus (Asian bonytongue)
Lineage: Eukaryota; Metazoa; Chordata; Actinopteri; Osteoglossiformes; Osteoglossidae
Exons: 4
Source: RefSeq, a predicted model, not a curated record